CUCAGCCUCAUCUCCCUCUUUCCCUUCCUAGAUCGCCCCAUCCUCUCCCGAUCAGGAUCAACACACGGAGCCCUGCUCGUUCAUCCAACCACACCGCCGUCGUCCUGGAAGCUGCAUAAUUUUAUUUUCCCCACUCGUAGCUGGGGCAACCAGCGCCAUCUACAUUGCACCAACCUCCCCUUCGCCGGUCACGAAGACACUGGAGCAAUGUUGACCCUCUCAUUCAAGCCAUGAGCCAUGGAUGCAAGCGAGCACGGCCAAGCUUUUAGCUUUUCUUCUUUAUCGGUCAUGGAUUUCGUAGACCGUAUUAUUAUGCUUUUUGGCAUCCAAUCACUGUCCAGUUUGUGGAUAAUCUAACAAGGAGCCCCGUGUCCAAGAAGCUGCCGUGGUGAAUCGACGACAAAACCAAGCCCAAAGAUGGCUCCUUUUCCACCUUUCUUUACUGUCUCCCUUGUCUUUGCUGAUCUACCGCCUGAGCGGCCGUCGGAUCGCCACCAGUUCGAUCUAUGAUUUGCUAGGGAGGUAGAUGUCGCUGCGUGUGGAGCAAGACUACAUAGGCUCCUCGGAGCGGGAGUUUUCCGUUGGAGGCGCCGAGGAAGGGGCUCUCAACCUCAGGGCGACGGAGCUCAGGUUGGGGCAGCCUGGGUCAGAGUCGCACCACCGGGACGACAAGGUCGGGCUAACCCUAGAUCUUCUCCCCAAGAGCUUCGCCUCCGGCGCCAAGAGGGGGUUCUUCGACGCCAUCGAUAAUGCCGGGAAGUGGGAGUGGGGCCUUGCGGUCGGCGAGGGCGGGUCUGAGGUGGACUUGGUGAAAGGCGGCUGCUUGUUAUCAACCUCGGGCCAGGCCUCAGAACAAGGGAAUGUAGGGAAGGUGGCAGCUCACUGCGGCGGUUCCAUUGGGAGAGAUCGCUCGGUGGCUCCGGCGGCGAAGAGCAUGGCGCUACUCCUGGAAGAGAUGGGUUUCGGACCUGGAUAAUUUUGAGGAAAAAAGGCAAACCAUCAUGUAUAGAAUAAGGAAGCAAUGGCCGUGCAAUGUUGUACCAACAAUCUGCAAAUACUGGCCUAUCUCCAUUAGGGGUGCACACAGAGCUUCUUGGAACUGAUGUUGCAGAAGGUUCACCAAGCUGAAAUAACACCAAGACCAGAGAAUGGUUCAUGCUUAUAAAAUACAGGAACUCAUUGUCCAUAAUUGAGCGAUUUAUUUUACUUUAACAGAUUGCUUCCCAAAGAUGACAGUGAUCCAAUGAUUCUUUGCUGGGUUUGAUAUGAAUGAAGAAAUUGCAUAUUUAGUAUCCACACUUCUACUUUUUGUGUGAAGGCUUUUACACUAUUUGUCUUUAGGUCUCCUUAAUAGUUGUAACUAAGGGUUUGAUGUUGUUUCUCCCUGUCAAAAUGUAUUAAUUGGCUGCUAUAUGAAACAUGUCUAUUUUUUCCUCUAAUUAUUUCUAUUUUAACUAAUAUAUUACUUAUUUUUGAAGUACAUGAUGAUUUGUUGUUGACUUGCAUACAAAAGAAGAGAAGUUUAUUUACUAUGUGCAGUUCUUGUUUGUGUGAACUCUUAAUCAUUUUCUAUUUAUUUCAGGUUCUUCAUAACAUUACUGUUGCAGAAUACUUUUACUGGAAUAUGCUACGUGAUUCAAUAACUCCUAUUUUUCCAUUGGACUGUUAAUCUCUUUUUGAUUUUGUGGAUAACUUUGCUGCAAACUAUGCUCUGAAGAGAGUUUAUUAUGUCAACUAUGCAUUGGGGAUAUCUGGACGCAGGAAACCUUGCUGGCAUCUAUUAUGAACAAAGUCAACUUGACAUGGCAAUUUUGCAUUACAAGCAAGCUAUCAAUUGUGAUUCUACCUUUAUUGAAGCUUACAAUAACUGGUAAGUUGAUAAUGGUCUAAUAUGUCAAAAUGUGGUAUCCUUCUUUAUGGUGAGCCAGGUUAGUUAAUGAUCGACUUUCUU
This is an RNA transcript of Zingiber officinale, 1951 nucleotides long. It is a transcript of the gene named auxin-responsive protein IAA27-like, with no coding region annotated. The transcript is spliced from 4 exons. The record is from RefSeq and is a predicted model, not a curated record. Lineage: Eukaryota; Viridiplantae; Streptophyta; Magnoliopsida; Zingiberales; Zingiberaceae.